RNAcentral lists this unclassified non-coding RNA (271 nucleotides) under Hevea brasiliensis (rubber tree). The record is from RNAcentral. Lineage: Eukaryota; Viridiplantae; Streptophyta; Magnoliopsida; Malpighiales; Euphorbiaceae.
GGAAAGUGUUUUUACUAACUACUAUGAAUUGAAUUCAAAAUGAAAAAAAGAAGGAAGAGGAGGAGUAGUCGUAGUAGUCUCCUAUUUGUCAACAAUCGGUCUCUGUCUCUCCCGUGUCACCAUCUGUCCACUCCCACUUUCAUUGGCUCAUGUCCACCAAAAAGAAAGCCAAAUGUCUCCAUCUCCCUUACCAUAUCUAUCUCUUCCGUUCUCCUCUUCUCUUCCACCGCCAAUUUCCUCCUCCUCCUCUUCUCACCAAACCUUCUCUUAU